UGGGGAAUAUUGGACAAUGGAGGAGACUCUGAUCCAGCCAUGCCGCGUGAGUGAUGACGGCCUUCGGGUUGUAAAGCUCUUUUGUUAGGGAAGAUAAUGACGGUACCUAAAGAAGAAGCACCGGCUAACUUCGUGCCAGCAGCCGCGGUAAUACGAAGGGUGCAAGCGUUGUUCGGAAUUACUGGGUGUAAAGGGCAUGUAGGCGGACGGGAACGUUAGCGGUGAAACCCUAGGGCUCAACCUUAGAAGUGCCGUUAAAACGGAUUGUCUGGAAUAUCGGAGAGGAUAAUGGAAUACCCAGUGUAGAGGUGAAAUUCGUAGAUAUUGGGUAGAACACCAGUGGCGAAGGCGAUUAUCUGGCCGGAUAUUGACGCUAAAGUGCGAAAGCGUGGGGAGCAAACA
RNAcentral lists this ribosomal RNA (402 nucleotides) under uncultured Alphaproteobacteria bacterium. Its description in RNAcentral is "partial 16S ribosomal RNA". It matches the Rfam family "Bacterial small subunit ribosomal RNA", at positions 355 to 774 of the family's 1533-position model. Lineage: Bacteria; Pseudomonadati; Pseudomonadota; Alphaproteobacteria. The record is from RNAcentral.